GAUGAACGCUGGCGGCGUGCCUAAUACAUGCAAGUCGAGCGAACAGACGAGGAGCUUGCUCCUUUGACGUUAGCGGCGGACGGGUGAGUAACACGUAGGUAACCUACCUAUAAGACUGGGAUAACUUCGGGAAACCGGAGCUAAUACCGGAUAAUAUUUCGAACCGCAUGGUUCGAUAGUGAAAGAUGGCUUUGCUAUCACUUAUAGAUGGACCUGCGCCGUAUUAGCUAGUUGGUAAGGUAACGGCUUACCAAGGCAACGAUACGUAGCCGACCUGAGAGGGUGCUCGGCCACACUGGAACUGAGACACGGUCCAGACUCCUACGGGAGGCAGCAGUAGGGAAUCUUCCGCAAUGGGCGAAAGCCUGACGGAGCAACGCCGCGUGAGUGAUGAAGGUCUUCGGAUCGUAAAACUCUGUUAUUAGGGAAGAACAAACGUGUAAGUAACUGUGCACGUCUUGACGGUACCUAAUCAGAAAGCCACGGCUAACUACGU
This 496-nucleotide ribosomal RNA is filed under the name uncultured bacterium. Its description in RNAcentral is "partial 16S ribosomal RNA". It matches the Rfam family "Bacterial small subunit ribosomal RNA", at positions 28 to 506 of the family's 1533-position model. The record is from RNAcentral.